AACUGCGAGUGAAGCGGCAAAAGCUCAAAUUUGAAAUCUGGCGUUUUGGAACGUCCGACUUGUAAUUUGGAGAGGCAUCUUUGGAGAUGGCGUUGUCCCAAGUUCCUUGGAACAGGACGUCGUAGAGGGUGAGAAUCCCGUAUGUGGACUGCUAUCCAUCUCCAUUUCUGGAUGUGAUCGACGAGUCGAGUUGUUUGGGAAUGCAGCUCAAAAUGGGUGGUAAAUGUCAUCUAAAGCUAAAUAUUGGCGAGAGACCGAUAGCGCACAAGUAGAGUGAUCGAAAGAUGAAAAGCACUUUGAAAAGAGAGUCAAAAAGUACGUGAAAUUGCUGAAAGGGAAGCGCUUGAGAUCAGGCGCGACUCUUUGAUAUCUUCCUGGGCUUUUGGCCGGGUAAACGAUAUCUUGGAUUCGAGCCAGCAUCGGUUUUUGCGGUGGGAUAAAAGGUUGGGGAAUGUAGCUUCCUUUGGGGAGUGUUAGAGCCCUGGCCAGAAUGCCACCAGUGAGGACCGAGGACCGCGCUUCGGCUAGGAUGCUGGCGUAAUGGUCUUAAGCGACCCGUCUUGAAACACGGACCAAGGAGUCUAACAUCUAUGCGAGUGUUCGGGUGGAAAACCCUUGCGCGCAAUGAAAGUGAAUGGAGGUGGGAACCCGCAAGGGUGCACCAUCGACCGAUCUUGACGUCUUCAGAAGGAUUUGAGUAAGAGCAUAGCUGUUGGGACCCGAAAGAUGGUGAACUAUGCCUGAAUAGGGUGAAGCCAGAGGAAACUCUGGUGGAGGCUCGCAGCGGUUCUGACGUGCAAAUCGAUCGUCAAAUUUGGG
Molecule: ribosomal RNA, 819 nt
Filed under: Myrmecocystis microspora
Lineage: Eukaryota; Fungi; Ascomycota; Pezizomycetes; Pezizales; Pyronemataceae
Description: LSU rRNA
Rfam family: Eukaryotic large subunit ribosomal RNA
Source: RNAcentral